GACGAACGCUGGCGGCGUGCUUAACACAUGCAAGUCGAACGGAAAGGCCCUGCUUUUGUGGGGUGCUCGAGUGGCGAACGGGUGAGUAACACGUGAGUAACCUGCCCUUGACUUUGGGAUAACUUCAGGAAACUGGGGCUAAUACCGGAUAGGAGCUCCUGCUGCAUGGUGGGGGUUGGAAAGUUUCGGCGGUUGGGGAUGGACUCGCGGCUUAUCAGCUUGUUGGUGGGGUAGUUGCUUACCAAGGCUUUGACGGGUAGCCGGCCUGAGAGGGUGACCGGCCACAUUGGGACGGAGAUACGGCCCAGAGUGCAACGGGAGGCAGCAGUGGGGAAUAGUGCACAAUGGGCGGAAGCCUGAUGCAGCAACGCCGCGUGCGGGAUGACGGCCUUCGGGUUGUAAACCGCUUUCGCCUGUGACGAAGCGUGAGUGACGGUAAUGGGUAAAGAAGCACCGGCUAACUACGUG
RNAcentral lists this ribosomal RNA (468 nucleotides) under uncultured bacterium. Its description in RNAcentral is "partial 16S ribosomal RNA". It matches the Rfam family "Bacterial small subunit ribosomal RNA", at positions 28 to 507 of the family's 1533-position model. The record is from RNAcentral.